Molecule: transfer RNA, 74 nt
Filed under: Petromyzon marinus (sea lamprey)
Lineage: Eukaryota; Metazoa; Chordata; Hyperoartia; Petromyzontiformes; Petromyzontidae
Description: tRNA-Asn (GTT) (tRNA-Asn-GTT-45-1)
Rfam family: tRNA
About the family: Transfer RNA (tRNA) molecules are approximately 80 nucleotides in length. Their secondary structure includes four short double-helical elements and three loops (D, anti-codon, and T loops). Further hydrogen bonds mediate the characteristic L-shaped molecular structure. tRNAs have two regions of fundamental functional importance: the anti-codon, which is responsible for specific mRNA codon recognition, and the 3' end, to which the tRNAs corresponding amino acid is attached (by aminoacyl-tRNA synthetases). tRNAs cope with the degeneracy of the genetic code in two manners: having more than one tRNA (with a specific anti-codon) for a particular amino acid; and 'wobble' base-pairing, i.e. permitting non-standard base-pairing at the 3rd anti-codon position.
Source: RNAcentral
GUUUCUGUGGCGCAAUUGGUUAGCGCGUUCGGUUGUUAACCGGAAGGUUGGUGGUUCAAGCCCACCCAGGGACG